This 231-nucleotide unclassified non-coding RNA is filed under the name Hevea brasiliensis (rubber tree). The record is from RNAcentral. Lineage: Eukaryota; Viridiplantae; Streptophyta; Magnoliopsida; Malpighiales; Euphorbiaceae.
GCAAGAAGAAUAUAAUUUUCCCAAAUAAUACAUUAUGGGCAUUGUAGGUGUCUCUACAACUUCCCAUGAUAAUUGGCCAAUCAACAAAAUUAACAGGCAUGUGACACUCAGUAAGAUCAAUUCUAAUAAGUUUGAAAUGAAUAUAGAUUCCAAGAGAAUGACAUAUGAUAUAGUGGGUGUGUGAUUAUAUAAUUCUAACAUUAAGAAUAUACCUCGAGCAACACACCCUGA